Molecule: transfer RNA, 75 nt
Filed under: Candidatus Shapirobacteria bacterium CG03_land_8_20_14_0_80_39_12
Lineage: Bacteria; Candidatus Shapironibacteriota
Description: tRNA-Ile
Rfam family: tRNA
About the family: Transfer RNA (tRNA) molecules are approximately 80 nucleotides in length. Their secondary structure includes four short double-helical elements and three loops (D, anti-codon, and T loops).
Source: RNAcentral
GGACCAGUAGCUCAGUGGUAGAGCAGUAUCCUUAUAAGAUAAUGGUCGAAGGUUCGAUCCCUUCCUGGUCCACCA